Molecule: transfer RNA, 77 nt
Filed under: Fluviibacter phosphoraccumulans
Lineage: Bacteria; Pseudomonadati; Pseudomonadota; Betaproteobacteria; Rhodocyclales; Fluviibacteraceae
Also listed under: 2 other names
Description: tRNA-Arg
Rfam family: tRNA
About the family: Transfer RNA (tRNA) molecules are approximately 80 nucleotides in length. Their secondary structure includes four short double-helical elements and three loops (D, anti-codon, and T loops).
Source: RNAcentral
GCGCCCGUAGCUCAACCGGAUAGAGCAACGGCCUUCUAAGCCGUAGGUUGUUGGUUCGAUUCCAAUCGGGUGCGCCA